Molecule: ribosomal RNA, 795 nt
Filed under: uncultured bacterium
Lineage: Bacteria
Description: bacterial SSU rRNA
Rfam family: Bacterial small subunit ribosomal RNA
Source: RNAcentral
AGAGUUUGAUCAUGGCUCAGAAUCAACGCUGGCGGCGUGCCUAACACAUGCAAGUCGAGCGGUAACAGGUGUAGCAAUACAUGCUGACGAGCGGCGAACGGGUGAGUAAUGCUUUGGAAUCUUCCCAGUAGUGGGGAAUAACCAGUCGAAAGAUUGGCUAAUACCGCAUACGUCUGUAAAGGGAAAGCGGGGGCUCGUAAGACCUCGCGCUAUUGGAUGAGCCAAAGUCGGAUUAGCUAGUUGGUGGGGUAAUGGCCUACCAAGGCGACAAUCCGUAGCUGGUCUGAGAGGACGACCAGCCACACCGGAACUGAGACACGGUCCGGACUCCUACGGGAGGCAGCAGUGGGGAAUAUUGGACAAUGGGGGAAACCCUGAUCCAGCGACGCCGCGUGUGUGAAGAAGGCCUGCGGGUUGUAAAGCACUUUUAGUGGGGACAAAAAGCUACGGAUUAAUACUCUGUGGUCUUGAUUUAACCCAAAGAAAAAGCACCGGCUAACUCUGUGCCAGCAGCCGCGGUAAUACAGAGGGUGCGAGCGUUAAUCGGAAUUACUGGGCGUAAAGCGCGCGUAGACGGUUUUGUAAGUCAGAUGUGAAAUCCCUGGGCUCAACCUGGGAACUGCAUUUGAGACUGCAUGGCUAGAGUAUGGAAGAGGGAAGUGGAAUUUCCGGUGUAGCGGUGAAAUGCGUAGAUAUCGGAAGGAACACCAGUGGCGAAAGCGACUUCCUGGUCCAAUACUGACGUUCAUGUGCGAAAGCGUGGGGAGCAAACAGGAUUAGAUACCCUAGUAGUCC